RNAcentral lists this ribosomal RNA (475 nucleotides) under uncultured bacterium. Its description in RNAcentral is "bacterial SSU rRNA". It matches the Rfam family "Bacterial small subunit ribosomal RNA", at positions 65 to 524 of the family's 1533-position model. The record is from RNAcentral.
AGCGACAAUAGGAUUUGCUCCUUUGACGUUAGCGGCGGCACGGGUGAGUAACACGUGGGCAACCUACCCUAUAGUUUGGGAUAACUCCGGGAAACCGGGGCUAAUACCGAAUAAUCUAUUUCUCCUCAUGGUGAAAUACUGAAAGACGGUUUCGGCUGUCGCUAUAGGAUGGGCCCGCGGCGCAUUAGCUAGUUGGUGAGGUAACGGCUCACCAAGGCGACGAUGCGUAGCCGACCUGAGAGGGUGAUCGGCCACACUGGGACUGAGACACGGCCCAGACUCCUACGGGAGGCAGCAGUAGGGAAUCUUCCACAAUGGGCGAAAGCCUGAUGGAGCAACGCCGCGUGAGUGAAGAAGGUUUUCGGAUCGUAAAACUCUGUUGUAAGGGAAGAACAAGUACAGUAGUAACUGGCUGUACCUUGACGGUACCUUAUUAGAAAGCCACGGCUAACUACGUGCCAGCAGCCGCGGUAAU